CAAAUGAAUAACCACACUGAAAGGGGGAAAAAGAAAUCUGAGUAGUUUAUGAAUACCCAUUAGACCAUAUUCCAUUAGACUUAGGUAGCGUGGGAGUCAGGAAGGACUUAAACACUAAACUCUUUUUACUGGGUUUGUUUUUGUACAGCAUGGACACAGAAGGAUUCUGAAAUGAUUUUAGAUAUUUCGUGGUAUUGAGCAAAUCAGUAAACACAUUGUUGUUGAGAUCCAGAGUUCUCACUGUGGAGAAGAAAGUUACAAAUACAGAAAGAGAGAAGACAUGGAUGUAAGAAGAAUGGACUGCAAUUGGAGAUUGCCUUUUGGUUGCAAGGGGAACAAUAAUAAUUACACAGUGCAGAAAUCAGAUACCCCUUUGACUAGUGACUGAAAUGAACAUCACCAAUAAAGGACAGACAGACAUCAUGUGCCUCUGGAUACGAUGCCCCAAAGAGGAGGUAAUACUACUCUUGUACUAUUUGACUGGAAAUGCAUAGCCUGAGUUUAAUGAUGAGGAAGCGUUAUAGAAGCCCCAAACAAGGAACAUUCCAUCUUACAAACAGGAACUGUUUUUAACAUGUCAGUGUCAUAAAGAAGAAAAAAAUCUAAAGAGAUAUGUCAACUCACUACGAUAUAUGAUUUUAGACUGAAUCCUGUACUGAAAAAACAUUACUGUGUCUGAUAGGCAGCCACUAAAAUGGUCCCACUUCCAGAUAUUUGCCCCUCUGUAUAAUCAUUUCCCUUGAAUGUAGGCUGAACUAACGACUUACUGACUUGCUUUUAAUGAAUAGAAGAUGGUAGAAGUAAUAGAAUGUCACUUCAAAGAUAAGGUUACAAAGAAAUGCUGGAAGUUUCUACCUGUGGGGCUUGUUCCCUCACUUAUUCUAAGGUACUAGCUGCCAUGCUGUGAGCAGCCCUAUGGAGAGGACCAUGUGGUGAAGAUAUGAGAGAAACUUCUGGUCAACAGCCAGUGAAGUACUGAAUCCUGCCAACAACCAUGUGAGUGAGCAGGAAAGUGGAUCCUCCCCACACUGAGCCUUCAGAUGAGACCACAGCCCUAGCCUACACAUUGAUUAUAACCUGGUCAAAGGACCCAGCUAGGCCACAUGCAUACACCUAACUCACAGAAACUGAGAUCAUAAAUGUUUGCUACUUUCAACUGCUAAGUUUUGAAGUAACUUGUUAUGUAUCUAUAGAUAACUAACACACCAUGUUCCUUGACAAAACUGGAAGCUGCAUAGUAGAUUAUAUUAAAGUAUUAUAUCAAUGUUAAA
This 1271-nucleotide long non-coding RNA is filed under the name Homo sapiens (human). RNAcentral's name for it is "HSALNT0350876". Lineage: Eukaryota; Metazoa; Chordata; Mammalia; Primates; Hominidae. The record is from RNAcentral.